RNAcentral lists this ribosomal RNA (253 nucleotides) under uncultured bacterium. RNAcentral describes it as "partial 16S ribosomal RNA". It matches the Rfam family "Bacterial small subunit ribosomal RNA", at positions 524 to 776 of the family's 1533-position model. The record is from RNAcentral.
UACGUAGGGUGCAAGCGUUGUCCGGAAUUAUUGGGCGUAAAGAGCUCGUAGGCGGUCUGUCACGUCGGCUGUGAAAACCCGAGGCUCAACCUCGGGCCUGCAGUCGAUACGGGCAAACUAGAGUACUGCAGGGGAGAACGGAAUUCCUGGUGUAGCGGUGAAAUGCGCAGAUAUCAGGAGGAACACCGGUGGCGAAGGCGGUUCUCUGGGCAUGUCCUGACGCUGAGGAGCGAAAGUGUGGGGAGCGAACAGG